CCUACGGGUGGCAGCAGUGAGGAAUAUUGGUCAAUGGACGAAAGUCUGAACCAGCCAUGCCGCGUGCAGGAUGACGGCUCUAUGAGUUGUAAACUGCUUUUGUAUUAGGGUAAACACCCCUACGUGUAGGGGCUUGAAAGUAUAAUACGAAUAAGGAUCGGCUAACUCCGUGCCAGCAGCCGCGGUAAUACGGAGGAUCCAAGCGUUAUCCGGAUUUAUUGGGUUUAAAGGGUGCGUAGGCGGACAGUCAAGUCAGCGGUAAAAAUGCGGUGCUCAACGCCGUACAGCCGUUGAAACUGGCAGUCUUGAGUGGGCGAGAAGUAUGCGGAAUACGUGGUGUAGCGGUGAAAUGCAUAGAUAUCACGCAGAACUCCGAUUGCGAAGGCAGCAUACCGGCGCCCGACUGACGCUGAGGCACGAAAGCGUGGGUAUCGAACAGGAUUAGAUACCCGUGUAGUC
This 459-nucleotide ribosomal RNA is filed under the name uncultured bacterium. RNAcentral describes it as "partial 16S ribosomal RNA". It matches the Rfam family "Bacterial small subunit ribosomal RNA", at positions 338 to 795 of the family's 1533-position model. The record is from RNAcentral.